UCCUACGGGGGGCAGCAGUGAGGAAUAUUGGUCAAUGGUCGGGGGACUGAACCAGCCAAGCCGCGUGAGGGAUGAAGGUACAGAGUAUCGUAAACCUCUUUUGUCAGGGAACAAAGGCGGGGACGUGUCCCCGGAUGAGUGUACCUGAAGAAAAAGCAUCGGCUAACUCCGUGCCAGCAGCCGCGGUAAUACGGAGGAUGCGAGCGUUAUCCGGAUUUAUUGGGUUUAAAGGGUGCGUAGGCGGACUGUUAAGUCAGCGGUAAAAGCCCGGGGCUCAACCCCGGCGAGCCGUUGAAACUGGCUGU
RNAcentral lists this ribosomal RNA (305 nucleotides) under uncultured bacterium. RNAcentral describes it as "bacterial SSU rRNA". It matches the Rfam family "Bacterial small subunit ribosomal RNA", at positions 337 to 640 of the family's 1533-position model. The record is from RNAcentral.